This is a long non-coding RNA of Vicia villosa (hairy vetch), 1674 nucleotides long. RefSeq lists it as uncharacterized. Lineage: Eukaryota; Viridiplantae; Streptophyta; Magnoliopsida; Fabales; Fabaceae. The transcript is spliced from 4 exons. The record is from RefSeq and is a predicted model, not a curated record.
UCCAACCACACGAGCUCCGUGACUUUCUCAUGGCACUUACCCUCAGCUUUACCGAUUCACCUUCUUCUUCAUUCGUCUUCCCUCACCUUCUUUUACCCCUAAACUCAAAAACCCUCUUCUUGCCUAUUGUUAUCUCCUUCGAUCUCAAAAGCCACGUUCUCUCUAUCAAACCCAAUCACGUUCACAAUCUUAUAAACCCUAAAAAAAUAAUUGAUUGAACCCAGAAAUCUAUUAAAACUCUAUAAAUCGAUUGAACCGAUAACUUAGAAUUCGAUUUAUUUGUUUCCAAAAAUCGAUUGAAACCCAAAAACCAUCUUCCAUCUUUAACAAUACUUUGUGUGUCAAAGAUUUCGAUUCACGUUAAACAUCUACACUUAUACUGAAGAAAGCAGGAUGGAUGGUAGUCAAAAGGUUUGAAAAAAUGGCCACGGUCGCGUUUUGGUCCCGUAAAGGUUUUCAAGAUUUUUCAAUCGGUACAGGUGUUGCAGCAUUGAUUGCAGUCGAUAUGAUGUGAGUUAACUUCAAAUUGUUCUUUAACAUAGAAAUGGUGAAUACCGUUGUGUCGUUGUUGGUUUUCAAGGCUGCGGACCGUUUUUUAAAACCUAGUCAUCUUACCAAUCCUUCUCCCAUUGUUGCUUCUUUUCAUCAGUGACAUUCUAGUGCUCAAGGUUUUCUUCUGACCUUUGCUUAGGUCAAAAUUGUGAUGUAGUUUUGUCACUUUUAUUAUGAUGAAUUGCACAAUAGAGGCAGGAAUCAUCAAAUAAGAAGUUUAGGAACAUGGAUGAGUACCACUUUUCUGAUCUUUAAUGAUUUAAUAUAGUUUGCUCAAGGUGUAGAACAAGCAGUGUGAAAAGCAACAAUACCUCAAAAAUUAAGGGACAUUUGACUAGAGUGGGUUGAUUAUGGCGUUGAUGCGUACUCUGAUGCUUGUCUCGAAUCUAGCCCCUGUGUGGUUCCGUGUGCAAAAUUUGGCGGCUUCACCAAUAUAAGAUCAUUGUACCUCUUUCUCCUAAAAUCAAGCAUGAGGAGGUAUUUAUCUUAACUAUUUGCUGACCAUUCUUGUGAUUUUGUUGGAUCCUAAAUAUCAUUUCCCAAUUUUUACAGAACUACUAGUUUGAGUUUAAUGAAAUGUGUUUAUUGAAGUAUUGCUUGAUUACUUAUCUUGUUUCAUAUGUUGAUGUGUUGAAUUGUUGUGCAUUCUAAGAUGUCAUAGCUACAUGAAAGAUAUUGGAAUUGACAUCAACAGUACAAGUAUAUGAUCUAGUAAUAUUGUACCAGCCAUGUGAAAAUUUUGUUACUUCCUAAAUAUAUGAUCUAGUAAUAAUGUACCAGCUAGCGUUUUUUUAUAAUGCACACUAGUGUUGAGCUUUUCUUUGAUGAGUUUGAAGCUAGCGAUGCAAACAUAAAGCAACUUUUCAACCAUUGUAAUACAAUUAUGCGGUCUGAUAAAACAAAUGCAUCUCAAAUAUUCACUUAUGCAAAUCAAGCUGGACUAUAUAUGCUUGAAACUACUCUAGCUGUCCUUCAAAAUAUAAAGCUCUAGAUGAAGCUUCCAGGAAGAUUCUUUUCUCUAAAUUCUCUAAGAUGAUGCAACAUGUAACUAAAUUGCUUGUUACUGGAAUACUAUUCUUUUAUUAUUUUAAAGCUAAUGCAUUUUUAACAAGGAUCAAAAUG